GACGAACGCUGGCGGCGUGCUUAACACAUGCAAGUCGAACGGACAGGCCCUGCUUUUGUGGGGUGCUCGAGUGGCGAACGGGUGAGUAACACGUGAGUAACCUGCCCUUGACUUUGUGAUAACUUCAGGAAACUGGGGCUCAUACCGGAUAGGAGCUCCUGCUGCAUGGUGGGGGUUGGAAAGUUUCGGCGGUUGGGGAUCGACUCGCGGCUUAUCAGCUUGAUGGUGUGGUAGUGGCUUACCAGGUCUUUGACGGGUAGCCGGCCUGAGAGGGUGACCGGCCACAUUGGGACUGAGAUACGGCGCAGACGCCUACGGGAGGCAGCAGUGGAGAAUAUUGCACAAUGGGCGGAAGUCUGAUGCAGCAACGCCGCGUGCGGGAUGACGGCCUUCGGGUUGUAAACCGCUUUCGCCGGUGACGAAGCGUGAGUGACGGUACUGGGUAAAGAAGCACCGGCUAACUACGUG
This 468-nucleotide ribosomal RNA is filed under the name uncultured bacterium. RNAcentral's name for it is "partial 16S ribosomal RNA". It matches the Rfam family "Bacterial small subunit ribosomal RNA", at positions 28 to 507 of the family's 1533-position model. The record is from RNAcentral.